GGCUCAGGACGAACGCUGGCGGCGUGCCUAACACAUGCAAGUCGAACGGGGUGUCGAGAGCUUGCUCUUGACACUUAGUGGCGAACGGGUGAGUAACGCGUGAGAAACCUGCCUCUCAGUGGGGGACAACAGUUGGAAACGACUGCUAAUACCGCAUAAUGUAUCGAGAGGGCAUCCUCUUGAUACCAAAGCUUUAUGUGCUGAAAGAUGGUCUCGCGUCUGAUUAGCUUGUUGGCGGGGUAACGGCCCACCAAGGCGACGAUCAGUAGCCGGUCUGAGAGGAUGAACGGCCACAUUGGGACUGAGAUACGGCCCAGACUCCUACGGGAGGCAGCAGUGGGGAAUAUUGGGCAAUGGGGAAAACCCUGACCCAGCAACGCCGCGUGAAGGAAGAAGGCCUUCGGGUUGUAAACUUCUUUUAGCAGGGACGAAGGACGUGACGGUACCUGCAGAAAAGCAACGGCUAACUACGUG
This 474-nucleotide ribosomal RNA is filed under the name uncultured bacterium. RNAcentral describes it as "bacterial SSU rRNA". It matches the Rfam family "Bacterial small subunit ribosomal RNA", at positions 21 to 507 of the family's 1533-position model. The record is from RNAcentral.